GAUGAAGAACGCAGCGAAAUGCGAUAAGUAAUGUGAAUUGCAGAAUUCAGUGAAUCAUCGAAUCUUUGAACGCACAUUGCGCCCGCCAGUAUUCUGGCGGGCAUGCCUGUCCGAGCGUCAUUUCAACCAUCAAGCCCCGGGCUUGUGUUGGGGACCUGCGUCCGACGCAGGCCCUGAAAACCAGUGGCGGGCUCGCUGUCCACACCGAGCGUAGUAACUAACCUCGCUAUGGAGUGGCGCGGGCGCCUGCCGUAAAACCCCCAAAUUCACAAGGUUGACCUCGGAUCAGGUAGGAAUACCCGCUGAACUUAAGCAUAUCAAUAAGCGGAGGA
Molecule: unclassified non-coding RNA, 332 nt
Filed under: soil metagenome
Description: partial contains 5.8S ribosomal RNA, internal transcribed spacer 2, and large subunit ribosomal RNA
Rfam family: 5.8S ribosomal RNA (bases 1-120)
Source: RNAcentral